RNAcentral lists this ribosomal RNA (497 nucleotides) under uncultured bacterium. RNAcentral's name for it is "partial 16S ribosomal RNA". It matches the Rfam family "Bacterial small subunit ribosomal RNA", at positions 28 to 507 of the family's 1533-position model. The record is from RNAcentral.
GAUGAACGCUGGCGGCGUGCCUAAUACAUGCAAGUCGAGCGAACGGACGAGAAGCUUGCUUCUCUGAUGUUAGCGGCGGACGGGUGAGUAACACGUGGAUAACCUACCUAUAAGACUGGGAUAACUUCGGGAAACCGGAGCUAAUACCGGAUGAUAUUUUGAACCGCAUGGUUCAAACGUGAAAGACGGUCUUGCUGUCACUUAUAGAUGGAUCCGCGCUGCAUUAGCUAGUUGGUAAGGUAACGGCUUACCAAGGCAACGAUGCAUAGCCGACAUGAGAGGGUGAUCGGCCACACUGGAACUGAGACACGGUCCAGACUCCUACGGGAGGCAGCAGUAGGGAAUCUUCCGCAAUGGGCGAAAGCCUGACGGAGCAACGCCGCGUGAGUGAUGAAGGUCUUCGGAUCGUAAAACUCUGUUAUUAGGGAAGAACAUAUGUGUAAGUAACUGUGCACAUCUUGACGGUACCUAAUCAGAAAGCCACGGCUAACUACGUG